AUAGCCUUAAUUGGAAUUUUCCAUUUUGGAUUUUUGGAAUUCUGUACAUAAUUCCUGGGAUUCUGGGCGUUGUAGCUGCCCAUCUCCAUAACAAAUGUCUUUACAUUGUAACCUUGGUUUUUGAAAUCCUGUUUUUGAUUGCGAUGUUUAUCAUCAUGUUG
Physella acuta is the source of this 161-nucleotide long non-coding RNA. RefSeq lists it as uncharacterized. NCBI's taxonomy places the organism in Eukaryota, Metazoa, Mollusca, Gastropoda, Physidae. The record is from RefSeq and is a predicted model, not a curated record.